AGUGAAGCGGCAAGAGCUCAAAUUUGAAAGCUGGCUCCUUCGGGGUCCGCAUUGUAAUUUGCAGAGGAUGCUUCGGGAGCGGCCCCCAUCUAAGUGCCCUGGAACGGGCCGUCAUAGAGGGUGAAAAUCCCGUCUGGGAUGGGGUGUCCGCGCCCGUGUGAAGCUCCUUCGACGAGUCGAGUUGUUUGGGAAUGCAGCUCUAAAUGGGUGGUAAAUUUCAUCUAAAGCUAAAUAUUGGCCGGAGACCGAUAGCGCACAAGUAGAGUGAUCGAAAGAUGAAAAGCACUUUGAAAAGAGAGUUAAACAGCACGUGAAAUUGUUGAAAGGGAAGCGCUUGCGACCAGACUCGCCCACGGGGUUCAGCCGGCAUUCGUGCCGGUGUACUUCCCCGCGGGCGGGCCAGCGUCGGUUUGGGCGGCCGGUCAAAGGCCCUCGGAAUGUAACGCCCCCCGGGGCGUCUUAUAGCCGAGGGUGCCAUGCGGCCAGCCCAGACCGAGGAACGCGCUUCGGCUCGGACGCUGGCAUAAUGGUCGUAAGCGACCCGUCUUGAAACCACGGACCA
Molecule: ribosomal RNA, 562 nt
Filed under: Penicillium oxalicum
Lineage: Eukaryota; Fungi; Ascomycota; Eurotiomycetes; Eurotiales; Aspergillaceae
Description: LSU rRNA
Rfam family: Eukaryotic large subunit ribosomal RNA
Source: RNAcentral